Molecule: ribosomal RNA, 465 nt
Filed under: uncultured bacterium
Lineage: Bacteria
Description: bacterial SSU rRNA
Rfam family: Bacterial small subunit ribosomal RNA
Source: RNAcentral
GAUGAACGCUGGCGGCGUGCCUAACACAUGCAAGUCGAGCGAUUCUCUUCGGAGAAGAGCGGCGGACGGGUGAGUAACGCGUGGGUAACCUGCCCUGUACACACGGAUUACAUACCGAAAGGUAUGCUAAUACGGGAUAACAUAUUUUAGUCGCAUGGCUGAGAUAUCAAAGCUCCGGCGGUACAGGAUGGACCGGCGUCUGAUUAGCUAGUUGGUGAGGUAAUGGCUCACCAAGGCGACGAUCAGUAGCCGACCUGACAGGGUGAUCGGCCACACUGGAACUGAGACACGCUCCAGACUCCUACGGGAGGCAGCAGUGGGGAAUAUUGCACAAUGGGCGAAAGCCUGAUGCAGCAACGCCGCGUGAGCGAUGAAGGCCUUCGGGUCGUAAAGCUCUGUCCUCAAGGAAGAUAAUGACGGUACUUGAGGAGGAAGCCCCGGCUAACUACGUGCCAGCCGCCGCGC